AAAGAUCUGAAGAGGUUUUGGAAGCAGUUAGAAAAAGAAGCAGGAAAGCCUGAGGCAAGAAAAUGUGCCUUUAUUCUGAAGACCCUCAAAAUGCCUUCAGAGUACUACUUGUUUGUGGAAGCAUUUUGCAAGAACCCUGGCAUCACUUGGGUUAUGAAGCUGGUUGGCAAGUCACAAGGUGAGGAAAUGUUCCUGAAAGCUGAAGGAUGUA
RNAcentral lists this long non-coding RNA (211 nucleotides) under Manacus vitellinus (golden-collared manakin). Its description in RNAcentral is "lncRNA (ENSMVIG00005005804.1)". Lineage: Eukaryota; Metazoa; Chordata; Aves; Passeriformes; Pipridae. The record is from RNAcentral.